CUUUUUUCACUUUGUCUGAAACUUUCGAACCCUAAUUACUAACUCUCACUUUGACUCCAGCACGCGCCUCCUUCUUCGCGUCGACCUUGUUCUCCAACCUGACCCGCCCCGGUCUCGUUCUCAGACCUGAGCUGCCUCGAGCUCGUUCUCCGACCGCCACCAGCGUAGGUCCUCUCUCUUUUCUCCCCACCAGCAAUACUGAUUUUCUGUCCGACGUUUCAUCGUCUUUUUGUUCUGAAGAGAGAUACGGAGAUGGGAGCGGAGAAAGCAGAGGCGUCGUUAGAUUCGCUGAUCGCUGGGUUCAACAGUCGGAUCUCAGAGCUCCAAGAGCUCGUUAUUGCGCGAAAAACCAGCAGUGUCACCGAUUUGUCGGCCGUCGACGCCGCCAUGAAGGACAUGGAGCUUCAGGUCCAGGCCAUCAAGGACCGGGUUCGUGACGAAACCCUAGCCAUCCCCAAAGCAAAAGUAGUUCCCUCUCUCUCUCUCUAGGUUUUGCUCUUCACUGCCACUACCAGCUUCUUAAGCAGCAGCUUCUCCGAUGUCGAGUUUCAUGCCGGCUGCCAAUCAGGUCCUUCGAGGUCGCUGAACCUCCAAACGACUCCAUUUCGAGCCUCAGCUUCAGCCCCAAAGCCAAUCACCUGUCGCCACCUCCUGGGACAACUAGGUUUGAUGCUGGGAGAUACAACACAGUGGACAAAAUCUUGGUAGUAUCCCAAGGGAAUGAUUUCACAUGACCAUCCGAAGAAAAUUGGAUAUAUGGAGUGUUGGGAGGUUGGUAGAGUGGAGACCUUGCAAGUGGUGGCUACAAGGACAUCUCACCAGUGGACGGGCUGAAUGGUCUGGUCUCUGAACUUGUUGUAGCAGUGUAAGAGAAAGCCAUGCUUGACGAAUGUGAAGCAUUGCUGGCUUCAGCAGCAGCUAUGCAGGUCCUGUUGCUGAGGAUAUGUUCCAUUAGCAAGCAACAAUUAUGGGUCCAGCCGACAACCCAUUUACUGGAGGUGUUUUCCUUGUAUCCAUUCACUUCCCACUCGAUUACCCUUUCAAGCCACUUGAGAAAGUUUUCUGUGCAGGGAAGUCAGGAAUUAGGUUGAACUGGAUGAGGAGACUUAAAGUAGCCCUUGGCGCAGCAAGAGGACAUCUUCAAAGAGCUAAUGUAAAACUCUUGGUUUACCAUAUUGCAAUAGUAAUUGCUAGGCUAGCCUUGUAGUAGGUUAAUUGGGGUUUUGUUUUGCCUAUUUUGUGAACUGUCAGGGAUAAUGAUUUUGAAUAGAAAUUUGAAUUUGAAGAAUACCCAAUAUUCAAAUUACUCUUGUUAAAUGUGGAUUGCAUUUUAUAGCAGCAACUAUAUAUUUUGUGGA
Molecule: long non-coding RNA, 1358 nt
Organism: Rosa rugosa (rugosa rose)
Lineage: Eukaryota; Viridiplantae; Streptophyta; Magnoliopsida; Rosales; Rosaceae
Exons: 9
Source: RefSeq, a predicted model, not a curated record